This 84-nucleotide transfer RNA is filed under the name Nippostrongylus brasiliensis. It matches the Rfam family "tRNA". Rfam says of the family: Transfer RNA (tRNA) molecules are approximately 80 nucleotides in length. Their secondary structure includes four short double-helical elements and three loops (D, anti-codon, and T loops). The record is from Rfam by way of RNAcentral. Lineage: Eukaryota; Metazoa; Nematoda; Chromadorea; Rhabditida; Heligmosomidae.
GUCAUUCUGGCCGAGUGAUUUAAGGCACUGCGUUCAGGCCGCAGUCCUCUCCGGAGGGCGCAGGUUCGAAUCCUACGGCUAACA